Molecule: long non-coding RNA, 272 nt
Organism: Arabidopsis thaliana (thale cress)
Lineage: Eukaryota; Viridiplantae; Streptophyta; Magnoliopsida; Brassicales; Brassicaceae
Product: other RNA
Exons: 1
Source: RefSeq
UCGUCGUUAUCACCAUCAUGUGAAUUGUCAUUUCUGAUUUCCGCUUUUCUUUGCCGCACAGACUAUUGACGUUGAGAACCCACAUCUAAGACUGCAAAGCAAUGAGACGUGAUAUCCCAAUCUUUUGGAGGUUCGCGGUUCAAGCGUGCUAGUUUCGCAAACUCCUAAGAUUAAAAAGUUAAUGUAAGAAAAUUAUCUAUAAUUUUUGUAAUAAUUAAAUUGAUGAAAUUAGGGACCUGUUUCACGAUUAUCCCACCAUGCUUCGUCAGCCU